RNAcentral lists this ribosomal RNA (406 nucleotides) under uncultured bacterium. RNAcentral describes it as "partial 16S ribosomal RNA". It matches the Rfam family "Bacterial small subunit ribosomal RNA", at positions 30 to 526 of the family's 1533-position model. The record is from RNAcentral.
AUUGAACGCUGGCGGCAGGCCUAACACAUGCAAGUAGAGCGAGCGGCGGAAGGGUGAGUAAUGUCUGGGAAACUGCCUGAUGGAGGGGGAAAACUACUGGAAAAGGUAGCUAAUACCGCAUACCAUCAGAUGUGCCCGGAUGGGAUUAGCUAGUGGGUGGGGUAACGGCUGACCUAGGCGACGAUCGCUAGCUGGUCUGAGAGGAUGACCGGCCACACGGGAACUGAGACCCGGGCCCGACGCCUUCGGGAGGCACCAGUGGCGAAUAUUGCACAAUGGGCGGAAGCCUGAUGCAGCCAUGCCGCGUGUGUGAAGGAGGCCUUCGGGUUGUAAAGCACUUUCAUCGGGUGUGCGUUACCCGCAUAAGAAGCACCGGCUAACUCCGUGCCAGCAGCCGCGGUAAUUC